GCCAGGAAGGCUUGUGAGCGCAGUGGACCGGCGGGCGGUGUGCCUAGGAAUAAGGUGACGGGAAUGGAAGGGCCAGCGACGCACACGUAGGCCUGCCGCUGCUGCUACUUGUCUUUACUUCUCCGUUGAAAUCUGGUCCAACGACAAGCAACCACUGGUGUGCCCGAACCUUGCCUGUGUCUGCAGUGUUCGGACAUCAGCGAGAGAGAGGAGAAAGACUGUAUAGCUCACUUGGCGGAAGGAGGAGGCUGCUGCAAAACAGCCUCUUUGCAAAUAUUGGACGUACCAAGCGACAGAAUGUCUACGAUGCUCCUCCUAGAGAAUCGGGGGAAAGGAAUAAGACAAUUGUAUCAAGUAUCGUCUAUUUAAUGGAAAUUAUAAAAGAAAGACUUUUACGGCGCACAAAACUGUCGUGUGGUCAGCAGCGGUGUCUUCGGCCGGUUGUUUGGUGACUCCACAGCAUCCUCUAAAGAGAAUUGGCACGCCAGAAAUGCUCGUGAUUUUAUGUAAACUAGAUCUUCAGAAUCGUGACUAGUGUGUGAGAACUCACUGGCAUUUACUCGAGCCGCAUCAUGCCCCAGCAGUUGAUGUGCAGCCUUUGAGGACGAUCGGAAAGCGUCCAAGGUUAAAACGGCCCACGUUGCCCGAAUGGUCUGAUGGCGUCCACUCGAAUCACAACGGCGACCAUCGUGGUGGGUGAGGGAUAAAAGCUGAAACUCUGAAAAUAACGAAUGUGUUUUGCCUACCGUGUGGCGGCACCUCCACGAACCUUGGUGACACAGUAUCGACCAGCCAUCUUGCCAAGUUGACUCAAGAUUGUCGGGAACUGGUUGUGACUUAACUUUAAAUAUAUUCACGUUUCCCGAAAGAGAACCCUUCACAUAGCCUAAGUGAGCGAGUUCUUUUGACGAGUGAUUAGCCUGAGAUGUAAUACAAUGGCGGUGCGGCGUGCAGGUGGCGGUGGACAUUGAGUUCCACUACGCUUGGCGUCGGACUGUGGCCGGUUGUGGUGCUGAUGGUGGUGCUGGUGCUGACUUUAAUCUGCUCUGACUCCCAGGAUGGUUCUUCUCCUGACAACGCUGUUAGUGGGCGUGGCAGUGCUGGUAACCGGCGGCCUCUGCCUCUGCUACUACUUCUCCCUCAGAGCCAUGUGGCGGGGCGGUGGCCGUCAGCCCGUCGCCCACCCAGAGAUUACUUGAGAUAAAGCGGACAGGAUGUAUUUUGCCAACAUCCUCAGGUCUCCUUCUCUCCAGUGUGAUAGAAAAGUCAUAUUCAAUUUAUCUCCAUAUCGACUUUAAAGCUUUUAUCCAAGAUAGAAACUACACAGCCUUCGUCAGCGUAACAAUCUGCGGCGAGUAGAGACUGCCGGCAGGAACAGUGUCUCCGAAGCAAUCUGCCCUGCAUCCCUGUCUUUCUUAUCACCUUCCCGCAGCGAGGCCCAAGGCAAAGGAUAUACGCAACAGCCAAUGAUUGAAGGUCACUUUUCACCGCCACACUAAGGAAGGAACCCCCUGCUGGGCUCUGCACGUAAUGGCACAAACAUAUUUAGAUAAUGAAAUAAGAAAUGAAAUACCAGAGAGAUAAUCAAAACAAGAUGCGUGUUAUACAGAUGCCGAUGAAGCCCCUAAAAAUUAGAAAAGUUGCUUUGCUGUGACAGAAUUCAUUGUUUGCUUAACCAUGCUUGUUCCCUGUGGCAGCUUAAGCAAACUACAAUAUCGCAGCGAAAUUCGUGACGCAGCACUCAUUUACUACACAUACUGUACCUGGGAAAUACUGAGAGUCCAUGAUGAAGACUUCUAGGAGUCAUGUCUACGCCCAUCCUCAGUGCUGUGAUGAAUGAUUCUACGGGCCAUGAUGAAAGAGAAACAGGAGAAAAUAAAUACAUAACUAGACGUGAAGGCAGAGGCUACAGACCCCGAAGGCCGAAGAGUAAAAGCAUACUCCAUUGGAACGGUGUAUAGUGUAGUGAGGAGAAUACUCAGAGGCCUCUGUAAAAUGUGCUGAACUGUAGCCAGGAGGAAGGACGCUGCCUGAGUGAAUACCUGAGCUGAGGGCCAGAGCUGACAGUAUGACGGAGCACUAUUAGGAGUGGGUGAAUAUAUCUCUGAACACCUAUUUCGAACAAUUAACAUUGCCCAAGAAUAAUGAUAAUCUCUGACAAUACAAAUACUCUUCAUUAUAUAUAGUAAACAGAUAAGGGUUGGCGGAAAACGUGCUCGCGUCCUGUGAAAUGCGUGGAAGGGCAGUGUGAGAAAAGGAACGUUUUUAAAGAGAGCCUCAUCAACCCACCAGCAGAACGUUCUCCAUGCUUAUCCUGCGCAGCUUCAAACUCUACCAACCCUGCGGCGGCCGUGGUGGUGAUCGACAUACUCAUAUAACUCGUCCUCUUAAUGUCUAUGUUUGACUGCAUCGCUUUCCAAACACAAGCAAGGCGGGAACACGAAGACCAAACUACAACGCUGCUUGGAUCUGCGCUGCGUCAUCUUCCACUACUAUAUAUCGAAGGACUCAAUCAACAUUAUUCGAGGUUGACGGAGAGGUCCCGCCCCUCGCCACCUGACAGCAGCUCCGGGCAGACCUUGAAAGCCUCGGCAGCGUCCCUGGAUUGAUGCAUCUCAUAUGGACGACCAAGACACCAGGAGACUAAGAGACUAAGAGACUGAGAGAGAGAGACUAAGAGACUAAGAGAGAGAGAGAGAGAGAGAGGUGAAUGAGGACGAAGGGACAACAGAAAAGAAAGAUGCAGACAAAUAAAGACUAAGGAAAUUGAGAGCUACACCAGGUUGACUGCCCCUCGACAGUUUGUGCACAAACUGUCACGGCGGGAGAAUCGUCAUCUUUGUUUUGACUCCUCGGCUUGCCAAGACUGCAGGGCGGAGAGAAGAGAGCUAGUUUGAUGACAGGGUAAAAUAUUAAAGUAAUUAAAGUUAUAAACACACACACACACACACACACACACACACACACACGCACACAUAGUACUACUCGACUCAGAGUAAUAUAUUUUUAAUUAAAUCAACAACAAAAAAAUAACAUAAUAUUGAUUGUAUCCUUGACGGUGUAAAAUAAAACUUUAAUAUAUGUAUGAAGAAUACAAUCCUAUAUUUACACAUGCGUAUGUUUGAUGUGGGAACGGGCCACUCCCUUUCUUGUGCUGUUGUGUCAAUAAAUUUAAAUAUAUUUUUUUAUGACGAUUUCUCUUCAUUCUAAGACGGUGCCAGAUUUUAGGAGAAUAGUAAUAGAAUAGGAAGGGAAACUAGGAAGUAUGAUUACGCUACUUGAGUGUUUAGAAGUGGAAAACAAAGUGUAGAGAGGCGGCGAGGAGUGCAAGAUUGCCGUUGCAGUGCCAGAGUUGGUAAACAAACACGAAAGAACUACAUCAUCAGAGCACUUCGUACACAGAGAAUACUUUCACACAUCAUAGAGAAACGUUGAAUAAUGAUAAGUUAUCGCAGUACCGUAGAACAUCACACGAGACAGAAGGAAAAUAUGUUACAUUAAACUAUGAAUCACAUAUGGACACUAAAACGGGUAAAUCAUCAGGGACACGCCAAUUCUUGUCGACAAACCGACUCGGUCGGCGUCAUGCGAUAGCGUGGUCGGUCUGACGCAAGAAUUUUAGACGCUUUGGCCUAGCUGUCGCCACCC
Molecule: long non-coding RNA, 3648 nt
Organism: Eriocheir sinensis (Chinese mitten crab)
Lineage: Eukaryota; Metazoa; Arthropoda; Malacostraca; Decapoda; Varunidae
Exons: 3
Source: RefSeq, a predicted model, not a curated record